UGGGGAAUAUUGCACAAUGGGCGCAAGCCUGAUGCAGCCAUGCCGCGUGUGUGAAGAAGGCCUUCGGGUUGUAAAGCACUUUCAGCGAGGAGGAAGGUGGUGAGCUUAAUACGCUCAUCAAUUGACGUUACUCGCAGAAGAAGCACCGGCUAACUCCGUGCCAGCAGCCGCGGUAAUACGGAGGGUGCAAGCGUUAAUCGGAAUUACUGGGCGUAAAGCGCACGCAGGCGGUUUGUUAAGUCAGAUGUGAAAUCCCCGGGCUCAACCUGGGAACUGCAUUUGAAACUGGCAAGCUAGAGUCUCGUAGAGGGGGGUAGAAUUCCAGGUGUAGCGGUGAAAUGCGUAGAGAUCUGGAGGAAUACCGGUGGCGAAGGCGGCCCCCUGGACGAAGACUGACGCUCAGGUGCGAAAGCGUGGGGCAGC
Molecule: ribosomal RNA, 423 nt
Filed under: uncultured bacterium
Lineage: Bacteria
Description: partial 16S ribosomal RNA
Rfam family: Bacterial small subunit ribosomal RNA
Source: RNAcentral